Molecule: ribosomal RNA, 331 nt
Filed under: Mytilus galloprovincialis (Mediterranean mussel)
Lineage: Eukaryota; Metazoa; Mollusca; Bivalvia; Mytilida; Mytilidae
Description: partial 16S ribosomal RNA
Rfam family: Bacterial large subunit ribosomal RNA
Source: RNAcentral
GGUAUGAAAGGGUUAACGAAGAAGGUGCUGUGUCUAAAAAUUCAAUUUAAACUAACUUUAAGGUGAAGAGGCCUUUAUGUAAAAGAAGGACGACAAGACCCUAUGAAGCUUUAUCUUAAUUGGAGCUCUCAGGCUCUUAUACGAUUUUGAUGGGAGAUCAGUGGAAAUAAGUCUUCUACUAUCAUAUUAAUCUUACUAGUAUUUCCUAACUUUAUAUGUGUGGCUAGCUACUCUAGGGAUAACAGCGCAAUUUCUCCCGAAAGAUGGUAUUGGAGGGGAAGAUUGCGACCUCGAUGUUGGCUUUAGAUAUCCUAGAGGCGUAGAAGCUUCU